CACGUAGGCGGAUUUGCCAGUCAGGGGUGAAAUCCCGGGGCUCAACCUCGGAACUGCCUUUGAUACAGCAAGUCUUGAGUUCGAGAGAGGUGGGUGGAAUUCCUAGUGUAGAGGUGAAAUUCGUAGAUAUUAGGAAGAACACCGGUGGCGAAGGCGGCCCACUGGCUCGACACUGACGCUGAGGUGCGAAAGCGUGGGAGCAAACA
RNAcentral lists this ribosomal RNA (206 nucleotides) under uncultured bacterium. RNAcentral's name for it is "partial 16S ribosomal RNA". It matches the Rfam family "Bacterial small subunit ribosomal RNA", at positions 568 to 774 of the family's 1533-position model. The record is from RNAcentral.